RNAcentral lists this ribosomal RNA (253 nucleotides) under uncultured bacterium. RNAcentral's name for it is "partial 16S ribosomal RNA". It matches the Rfam family "Bacterial small subunit ribosomal RNA", at positions 524 to 776 of the family's 1533-position model. The record is from RNAcentral.
UACGAAGGGAGCUAGCGUUGUUCGGAAUGACUGGGCGUAAAGGGUGUGUAGGCGGUUAUACACGUCAGAUGUGAAAUCCCCGGGCUUAACCUGGGAAUGGCAUUUGAUACGGUAUAGCUAGAGAUUGGUAGAGGGUAGUGGAAUUGCGAGUGUAGAGGUGAAAUUCGUAGAGAUUCGCAGGAACACCGGUGGCGAAGGCGGCUACCUGGGCCAAAACUGACGCUGAGGCACGAAAGCGUGGGGAGCAAACAGG